Molecule: long non-coding RNA, 210 nt
Filed under: Elaeis guineensis (African oil palm)
Lineage: Eukaryota; Viridiplantae; Streptophyta; Magnoliopsida; Arecales; Arecaceae
Description: long non-coding RNA (EGUI_LNC011091)
Source: RNAcentral
GUCCUUCACUCUUGCCUGUCAUAAGGAGAAAUUGCUCUUUCCGUCAAACCUAUUGAUCUCCAUCUUGAUUGUGCUUGUCUUCUCCAUCUUCUAUCUCGAUCACCACCGUCGCAAGCUAUGCUCUGAUACCAAUUGUUGUGCAGAAUCCGGUACCACACGAUGCAGCCGAAAGAAAGAAGAAACAAAAUAAGAAACACAAUACAAAUACAU